CCUACGGGAGGCAGCAGUGGGGAAUAUUGCGCAAUGGGCGAAAGCCUGACGCAGCGACGCCGCGUGAGGGAUGAAGGUCUUCGGAUCGUAAACCUCUGUCAGCAGGGAAGAACGGUCACUGUGCUAAUCAGCAGUGAAUUGACGGUACCUGCACAGGAAGCACCGGCUAACUCCGUGCCCGCAGCCGCGGUAAUACGGAGGGUGCGAGCGUUAAUCGGAAUUACUGGGCGUAAAGCGCUCGUAGGCGGUAUUUCAAGUCAAGGGUGAAAUCCCCGCGCUCAACCUGGGAACAGCCUUUGAAACUGGGAAACGGGAGUGUGUGAGAGGAUAGUGGAAUGCCAGGUGUAGGAGUGAAAUGCGUAGAUAUCUGGAGGAACAUCAGUGGCGAAGGCGACUAUCUGGCACAUAACUGACGCUGAGGAGCGAAAGCGUGGGUAGCAAACAGGAUUAGAUACCCGAGUAGUC
Molecule: ribosomal RNA, 465 nt
Filed under: uncultured bacterium
Lineage: Bacteria
Description: partial 16S ribosomal RNA
Rfam family: Bacterial small subunit ribosomal RNA
Source: RNAcentral